GGAAUGAAUUGAUCCUCCGGUGCAAGUUUGUUUACUACUUAUCGAUGGCUUUGAACUUUGUUCUACGGCUCGCUUGGUUGCAAACAGUUCUGCACUACAACUUUGCGAGUUUGGAUUACAGAGUGACUUCAUUCUUCUUAGCAGCCCUCGAGGUGAUUCGGCGAGGGCAUUGGAAUUUUUAUAGGUUGGAGAAUGAGCACCUGAACAAUGCUGGAAAACUUAGGGCUGUUAAGACAGUUCCACU
Long non-coding RNA from Zingiber officinale, 244 nucleotides. RefSeq lists it as uncharacterized. NCBI's taxonomy places the organism in Eukaryota, Viridiplantae, Streptophyta, Magnoliopsida, Zingiberales, Zingiberaceae. The record is from RefSeq and is a predicted model, not a curated record. The transcript has 3 exons.